RNAcentral lists this unclassified non-coding RNA (508 nucleotides) under Hevea brasiliensis (rubber tree). Lineage: Eukaryota; Viridiplantae; Streptophyta; Magnoliopsida; Malpighiales; Euphorbiaceae. The record is from RNAcentral.
CAAAGCCGUCCAGCUGCUAGUUCUUCAUCCUACAGGAAAUCUGUGGUAGAUAAUAACAAGGAUGUUCUAAAUAGGAAUUUCUCUGAACUUAGUUUUUCGGAGGGUUCUCGGGGAAAAUCAUAUGAGAGGUAUAUGCAGAAAAGGGAUAGAAAACUCAGGGAAGAAUGGAAUUCUAUGGGGGAAGAGAAGGAAGCCAAACAGAGGGCUAUGGAGGAUUGCCUUGAGAGGAGUAGAGCUGAGAUGAAGGCUAAGUUUGCUGGAUCUGCUGAUAAAGACGGUAUGGUUUCUAGCUCCCAUCGGCGUGCUGAGAGACUCAGAUCAUAUAAUUCGAGGUCUAUUCUAAGGAGAGACCAGCAACAAUUGGUUUUUGAGCAAAGUGAUAACGAUGAAGAUAUGCCUGAAUUAUCGAAGCAGAAAAAAUAUGGUGAAGACAGGUCUUUUGACGAAACAUCCUUUGGGGAUGAUGUUCGUAAAAGCACUCGGGGUAAGAAGCCUUUACCUGUCAAAG